GACAAACGAUUAACAAGUAAUUCCUAAGUCUAGCAACAGACAAUUGUUACUCCUUCAUGGUAAUCCCAAACCUAACGUUACCCUACAUAAUGACUUCUAAUGAGAAAAAUAAAUGAUUUUCCUACAUAAUAGUCUUAACUGUAAUAAUAAAAGGCAAAAAAUGUGUUACCAAGUCGACCAUAUCUACGGGUCUGUAAACUAGGAGAGAUGCGAAUUCAAUACUUUAGGGUCUCCACUAAUCACCUCGAAGCUUCCGUCAACUGCAACAAAAUGAAACGACAUCGACACACAAAUAUCUAAGGGUACAAUCGUCCAUAUUCCACCAUACUGCUCGAAACAAAAAAAAAUGGACACCACUAAGGGGUCGGCAUGCCUUCUGGAACAUUUUUUCUUAAGACAACGACGUCGAAAAAACAUAACACCCAUCCUCAUAUGCCUCUACUGUCUUUGUAUGUGGGCUUCACGAGUCAUGGCAUGCACUGCCAUCAGCUAUCACGUGCGUCACAUCUAGUACACCUCAGUCUGCAAAUCACGGCUGUGGAGUUGGUUUCGUUGGAAUGCCUCAAAAUAGAUCCAGCUAGUUUGAAGAAAAUCCUAGAUUUUCAUCCCUGUUUUCUGUCUUUUUCUAGCUUCAUUUUGGACCCGUUCCAGCUAUUUUUUGCACCAAAAAAAUCACAAAUUUCUCAACAACACAAGCUCCGAUUCCAAAAAUCUUUGAAAAAUCUUGAUUUGGGCUUAGUAAAACUUACCAAACUAACAUCAAUUGAGGAGGCUUCUACCCACAACAAAAUCACUUAGUUGCCACAAGUUAUUUCAUCCCCACAAAAGAAUAACAAUGGUGAUUGGUUUGCACCCACAAAGGGAGACUAAAAAUAGAAGUGGCAAUUGGAACUUGAAGAGGAACCAAAACGCACAGCACGUUUUUCUCUCGAUGCAAAGCUC
RNAcentral lists this long non-coding RNA (942 nucleotides) under Olea europaea subsp. europaea. The record is from RNAcentral. Lineage: Eukaryota; Viridiplantae; Streptophyta; Magnoliopsida; Lamiales; Oleaceae.